RNAcentral lists this long non-coding RNA (797 nucleotides) under Lathyrus oleraceus (garden pea). Its description in RNAcentral is "Pisum sativum (pea) long non-coding RNA (PSAT_LNC014989)". Lineage: Eukaryota; Viridiplantae; Streptophyta; Magnoliopsida; Fabales; Fabaceae. The record is from RNAcentral.
ACCUUUUUCGGUCGGGAAUAAAGACAGUAGUGUAAAAUAUAUUUGAAACUCGUUCUAAGCAUUGGUCCCGUGAGGUGGUGAAAAAAUAGGAUUCGUGAUAAGGGUGUUUGGUCGAGGACUUGUGAAGGUUGCUCCAUAAAAUAAUGUCAAAUAUGUCAUUUCAUGUGAAAAAAUAAAGUUAACAAUUCUUCUCUUAUAAUAUACAAAGAAAGAAUUAAAAAUAGAUGAUUAUAUUGUAAUGGGGGAGACAAUAGAGUUUGAUGAAAUCAAAAGUUUUCUAUUUUUAGUCAUUAUCAGUAUUAUUUCGAUUGUAAGUGGAUGUGACUAAAAUAUCUAUGUACCACGUGUUUUUCCUUAAUGAGACUCGCAGAAAAAUGUGUAUUACAUCAUAAAAGAAAAGAUCAUUCACUCCUCAUUAUCAUAAGGGGAAAUGCAUACUCUAUAUUCUCAUUAUGAAAUAAAUCGAACCCAACGCUAGUUGGGUAAUUAUUAUGUACAUGAAACUGAUCUACAUUGUCAAAAUUUGAUGAAGUUUCAACUUUAAAAAUGUUGGUAAUUCAAUCUUAAAAGGGGUGCAGGUUCCUACUUAAUCCAUUCAUGUUCGUAAAGAACCCAAAUAAUUGGUGUUUAUAUGGCAAAAAUGAUCUUUGCUUAUUGCUUCCCUUCCUCUUUUUAUUUGUCAAAUAAAGCUUCUUGUAUGUCGAUAAUGCCUUUUUGGGUUGUUCUUCCUUCCUUUUUUUAAUGACGAUGCUUUCUACUUUUGUCUUGACAUGAUUUUUUGGCACCGAAGAAUUCAA